RNAcentral lists this ribosomal RNA (460 nucleotides) under uncultured bacterium. Its description in RNAcentral is "partial 16S ribosomal RNA". It matches the Rfam family "Bacterial small subunit ribosomal RNA", at positions 338 to 795 of the family's 1533-position model. The record is from RNAcentral.
CCUACGGGAGGCAGCAGUGAGGAAUAUUGGUCAAUGGACGCAAGUCUGAACCAGCCAUGCCGCGUGCAGGAAGACGGCUCUAUGAGUUGUAAACUGCUUUUGUACGAGGGUAAACGCAGAUACGCGUAUCUGUCUGAAAGUAUCGUACGAAUAAGGAUCGGCUAACUCCGUGCCAGCAGCCGCGGUAAUAAGGAGGAUUCAAGCGUUAUCCGGAUUUAUUGGGUUUAAAGGGUGCGUAGGCGGUCGGAUAAGUUAGAGGUGAAAUCCCGAGGCUCAACUUCGGAAUUGCCUCUGAUACUGUUUGGCUAGAGAGUAGUUGCGGUAGGCGGAAUGUAUGGUGUAGCGGUGAAAUGCUUAGAGAUCAGACAGAACACCGAUUGCGAAGGCAGCUUACCAAGCUACUUCUGACGUUGAGGCACGAAAGCGUGGGGAGCAAACAGGAUUAGAUACCCCAGUAGUC